AGAGAAUAGAUACCCUGGUAGUCCACGCCGUAAACGAUGAGCACUAGUUAUUGGGGGUAUCGACUCCCUCAGUGACGCAGCUAACGCAUUAAGUGCUCCGCCUGGGGAGUACGGUCGCAAGACUAAAACUCAAACAAAUUGACGGGGGCCCGCACAAGCGGUGGAUUAUGUGGUUUAAUUCGAAGCAACGCGCAGAACCUUACCUAGGCUUGAACUCCUACGAACCUCUUGUAAUGGAGAGGGUGUCCGCAAGGAAAUGUAGUGAGAGGUGCUGCAUGGCUGUCGUCAGCUCGUGUUGUGAAAUGUUGGGUUAAGUCUCGCAACGAGCGCAACCCCUAUCGUCUGUUGCCAGCAUUAAGUUGGGCACUCUGACGAGACUGCCUGGGUUAACCAGGAGGAAGGUGGGGAUGACGUCAAGUCCUCAUGGCCCUUAUGUCUAGGGCUACACACGUAAUACAAUGGCGCGUACAGAGGGAAGCGAACUAGCAAUAGGGAGCAAAUCUCAAAAAGCGCGCCUCAGUUCGGAUU
RNAcentral lists this ribosomal RNA (528 nucleotides) under uncultured bacterium. Its description in RNAcentral is "bacterial SSU rRNA". It matches the Rfam family "Bacterial small subunit ribosomal RNA", at positions 774 to 1299 of the family's 1533-position model. The record is from RNAcentral.